This 382-nucleotide ribosomal RNA is filed under the name uncultured eukaryote. RNAcentral's name for it is "SSU rRNA". It matches the Rfam family "Eukaryotic small subunit ribosomal RNA", at positions 587 to 972 of the family's 1831-position model. The record is from RNAcentral.
AGCUCCAAUAGCGUAUGUUUAAGUUGUUGCGGUUAAAAAGCUCGUAGUUGGAUUUCGGGUGGGCGCCGCCGGUCUCCCUUUCGGUAGUACUGGUGUGCGCGCACCUUGCUGCCGGAAACGCGCGCUCGGAUUUUAACUGAUUUGAGCCGCGGGUUCGGCGAUGUUACUUUGAGUAAAUUAGAGUGUUCAAAGCAAGCCAACGCUCUGAAUAUGAUAGCAUGGGAUAACACGACAGGACUCUGGCCUAUUUGUGUUGGUCUGUAGGACCGGAGUAAUGAUUAAGAGGGACAGUCGGGGGCAUUCGUAUUCCAUUGUCAGAGGUGAAAUUCAUAGAUUUAUGGAAGACGAACAUCUGCGAAAGCAUUUGCCAAGGAUGUUUUCA